UAGGGAAUCUUCCGCAAUGGACGCAAGUCUGACGGAGCAACGCCGCGUGAGUGAAGAAGGUUUUCGGAUCGUAAAACUCUGUUGUUAGAGAAGAACAAGUGCUAGAGUAACUGUUAGCGCCUUGACGGUAUCUAACCAGAAAGCCACGGCUAACUACGUGCCAGCAGCCGCGGUAAUACGUAGGUGGCAAGCGUUGUCCGGGUUUAUUGGGCGUAAAGCGAGCGCAGGCGGUUCCUUAAGUCUGAUGUGAAAGCCCCCGGCUCAACCGGGGAGGGUCAUUGGAAACUGGGGAACUUGAGUGCAGAAGAGGAGAGUGGAAUUCCAUGUGUAGCGGUGAAAUGCGUAGAUAUAUGGAGGAACACCAGUGGCGAAGGCGACUCUCUGGUCUGUAACUGACGCUGAGGCUCGAAAGCGUGGGUAGCAAACAGGAUUAGAUACCCUGGUAGUCCACGCCGUAAACGAUGAGUGCUAAGUGUUGGAGGGUUUCCGCCCUUCAGUGCUGCAGUUAACGCAUUAAGCACUCCGCCUGGGGAGUACGACCGCAAGGUUG
RNAcentral lists this ribosomal RNA (550 nucleotides) under uncultured bacterium. RNAcentral's name for it is "bacterial SSU rRNA". It matches the Rfam family "Bacterial small subunit ribosomal RNA", at positions 355 to 896 of the family's 1533-position model. The record is from RNAcentral.